CUAAGGAGCAUGUGCAUUCCAUUGGUCGGUGUGUCCGGGUGGAGUGUCAGAGGCACGAUUCGGGACUGUGUUUCCGACGUGUGGCUCAGGGGUGGAACAUAUGGCAGAGGCAUCGCCGGGUGUUGAUCGGUGGGAGUACAUGCUCGCUUUUGGGUGGGUGUCGGAAACUGUGGGUUGAUUAUUGCGGGGUGUGUGCACACUGUUGGGUCCUGAGGGGCCGGGCAAAUCCAGUCGCGGGGGUGCUCCUUUUGUGGGGUGUUCGUGUGGGUGGGGUUGGUUGGUUUCUUGUGCAGCCCAUGGUCUGAUCACUGGUUGGUGGUUGGGGGUGGGACUGAGCGUAUGUUGAGAACUACACAGUGGACGCGAGCAUCUUCCGCCCGUCAUGAUGGUCACCCUUUUGGGGUGGUGGUUGUGGUGGGUGGAGAUCAAAAUUGCAGCACUCGUUUCUGGUGUUCCUUCGGGGGUGCUGGUGGGGUGUUGUGAUCAUUGGUCUGCUCAUGGUGGUGCCGGAUGGUUUCGAUUGUCGGGUGUCAUGGUGGGCAGUUUUUAACUCAUGUGUGU
RNAcentral lists this unclassified non-coding RNA (561 nucleotides) under uncultured bacterium. RNAcentral's name for it is "16S-23S ribosomal RNA intergenic spacer". The record is from RNAcentral.